This 301-nucleotide ribosomal RNA is filed under the name uncultured bacterium. RNAcentral describes it as "partial 16S ribosomal RNA". It matches the Rfam family "Bacterial small subunit ribosomal RNA", at positions 509 to 807 of the family's 1533-position model. The record is from RNAcentral.
CAGCAGCCGCGGUAAUACGAAGGGGGCUAGCGUUGUUCGGAAUUAUUGGGCGUAAAGGGCGCGUAGGCGGUUUGACAAGUCUUGUGUGAAAUCUCUGGGCUCAACCCAGAGUCUGCACGGGAAACUGUCGGGCUAGAGGAUGGGAGAGGUGAGUGGAAUUUCCGGUGUAGCGGUGAAAUGCGUAGAUAUCGGAAGGAACACCUGUGGCGAAAGCGGCUCACUGGACCAUAUCUGACGCUGAGGCGCGAAAGCUAGGGGAGCAAACAGGAUUAGAUACCCCCGUAGUCCCUGUCUCUUAUAC